UGGCUCAGAUUGAACGCUGGCGGCAGGCCUAACACAUGCAAGUCGAGCGGUAGAGAGAAGCUUGCUUCUCUUGAGAGCGGCGGACGGGUGAGUAAUGCCUAGGAAUCUGCCUGGUAGUGGGGGAUAACGUUCGGAAACGAACGCUAAUACCGCAUACGUCCUACGGGAGAAAGCAGGGGACCUUCGGGCCUUGCGCUAUCAGAUGAGCCUAGGUCGGAUUAGCUAGUUGGUGAGGUAAUGGCUCACCAAGGCGACGAUCCGUAACUGGUCUGAGAGGAUGAUCAGUCACACUGGAACUGAGACACGGUCCAGACUCCUACGGGAGGCAGCAGUGGGGAAUAUUGGACAAUGGGCGAAAGCCUGAUCCAGCCAUGCCGCGUGUGUGAAGAAGGUCUUCGGAUUGUAAAGCACUUUAAGUUGGGAGGAAGGGCAGUUACCUAAUACGUGAUUGUUUUGACGUUACCGACAGAAUAAGCACCGGCUAACUCUGUGCCAGCAGCCGCGGUAAUACAGAGGGUGCAAGCGUUAAUCGGAAUUACUGGGCGUAAAGCGCGCGUAGGUGGUUUGUUAAGUUGGAUGUGAAAUCCCCGGGCUCAACCUGGGAACUGCAUUCAAAACUGACUGACUAGAGUAUGGUAGAGGGUGGUGGAAUUUCCUGUGUAGCGGUGAAAUGCGUAGAUAUAGGAAGGAACACCAGUGGCGAAGGCGACCACCUGGACUAAUAC
RNAcentral lists this ribosomal RNA (725 nucleotides) under Pseudomonas sp. 110623_PC_C1_B8. Its description in RNAcentral is "bacterial SSU rRNA". It matches the Rfam family "Bacterial small subunit ribosomal RNA", at positions 20 to 740 of the family's 1533-position model. Lineage: Bacteria; Pseudomonadati; Pseudomonadota; Gammaproteobacteria; Pseudomonadales; Pseudomonadaceae. The record is from RNAcentral.